GCUGGCGGCAGGCUUAACACAUGCAAGUCGAACGGUAGCACAUAGGAGUUUGCUCCUUGGGUGACGAGUGGCGGACGGGUGAGUAAUGCUUGGGAAUCUGGCUUAUGGAGGGGGAUAACUACUGGAAACGGUAGCUAAUACCGCGUAAUGUCUUAGGACUAAAGGGUGGGACCAUUUGGCCACCUGCCAUAAGAUGAGCCCAAGUGGGAUUAGGUAGUUGGUGAGGUAAAGGCUCACCAAGCCCGCGAUCUCUAGCUGGUCUGAGAGGAUGACCAGCCACACUGGAACUGAGACACGGUCCAGACUCCUACGGGAGGCAGCAGUGGGGAAUAUUGCACAAUGGGGGGAACCCUGAUGCAGCCAUGCCGCGUGAAUGAAGAAGGCCUUCGGGUUGUAAAGUUCUUUCGGUGACGAGGAAGGCGAUUGUUUUAAUAGAACAGUCGAUUGACGUUAAUCACAGAAGAAGCACCGGCUAACUCCGUGCCAGCAGCCGCGGUAAU
RNAcentral lists this ribosomal RNA (500 nucleotides) under Mannheimia haemolytica. RNAcentral's name for it is "bacterial SSU rRNA". It matches the Rfam family "Bacterial small subunit ribosomal RNA", at positions 35 to 524 of the family's 1533-position model. The record is from RNAcentral. Lineage: Bacteria; Pseudomonadati; Pseudomonadota; Gammaproteobacteria; Pasteurellales; Pasteurellaceae.